RNAcentral lists this long non-coding RNA (500 nucleotides) under Neogobius melanostomus (round goby). RNAcentral describes it as "lncRNA (ENSNMLG00000004904.1)". Lineage: Eukaryota; Metazoa; Chordata; Actinopteri; Gobiiformes; Gobiidae. The record is from RNAcentral.
CUGUUCUCAGUUCAGCUUAUAGCAGUAUAUCUCUGAAGGUUCCUCUGGUUUCAGUUCAGCAGUAUAUAGCAGUAUAUAGCAGUAUAUCUCUGAAGGUUCCUCUGGUUGCAGUUCAGCAGUAUAUAGCAGUAUAUCUCUGAAGGUUCCUCUGCAGUUAGCAGUAUUCAGUUUCUCUUUAGUAUUAUAGCAGUAUAUCUCUAAGGUUCCUCUGGUUCAGUUCAGCAGUAUAUAGCAGUAUAUCUCUGAAGGUUCCUCUGGUUUCAGUUCAGCAGUAUAUAGCAGUAUAUCUCUGAAGGUUCCUCUGGUUUCAGUUCAGCAGUAUAUAGCAGUAUAUCUCUGAAGGUUCCUCUGGUUUCAGUUCAGCAGUAUAUAGCAGUAUAUAGCAAGUAUAUCUCUGAAGGUUCCUCUGGUUUCAGUUCAGCAGUAUAUAGCAGUAUAUCUCUGAAGGUUCCUCUGGUUUCAGUUCAGCAGUAUAUAGCAGUAUUCUCUAGGUUCCUCUG